This 1158-nucleotide ribosomal RNA is filed under the name Aspergillus niger. RNAcentral describes it as "SSU rRNA". The record is from RNAcentral. Lineage: Eukaryota; Fungi; Ascomycota; Eurotiomycetes; Eurotiales; Aspergillaceae.
CCGGGYMAUAGUAUAGCACUUUAUACUGUGAAACUGCGAAUGGCUCAUUAAAUCAGUUAUCGUUUAUUUGAUAGUACCUUACUACAUGGAUACCUGUGGUAAUUCUAGAGCUAAUACAUGCUGAAAACCUCGACUUCGGAAGGGGUGUAUUUAUUAGAUAAAAAACCAAUGCCCUUCGGGGCUCCUUGGUGAAUCAUAAUAACUUAACGAAUCGCAUGGCCUUGCGCCGGCGAUGGUUCAUUCAAAUUUCUGCCCUAUCAACUUUCGAUGGUAGGAUAGUGGCCUACCAUGGUGGCAACGGGUAACGGGGAAUUAGGGUUCGAUUCCGGAGAGGGAGCCUGAGAAACGGCUACCACAUCCAAGGAAGGCAGCAGGCGCGCAAAUUACCCAAUCCCGACACGGGGAGGUAGUGACAAUAAAUACUGAUACGGGGCUCUUUUGGGUCUCGUAAUUGGAAUGAGUACAAUCUAAAUCCCUUAACGAGGAACAAUUGGAGGGCAAGUCUGGUGCCAGCAGCCGCGGUAAUUCCAGCUCCAAUAGCGUAUAUUAAAGUUGUUGCAGUUAAAAAGCUCGUAGUUGAACCUUGGGUCUGGCUGGCCGGUCCGCCUCACCGCGAGUACUGGUCCGGCUGGACCUUUCCUUCUGGGGAAUCUCAUGGCCUUCACUGGCUGUGGGGGGAACCAGGACUUUUACUGUGAAAAAAUUAGAGUGUUCAAAGCAGGCCUUUGCUCGAAUACAUUAGCAUGGAAUAAUAGAAUAGGACGUGCGGUUCUAUUUUGUUGGUUUCUAGGACCGCCGUAAUGAUUAAUAGGGAUAGUCGGGGGCGUCAGUAUUCAGCUGUCAGAGGUGAAAUUCUUGGAUUUGCUGAAGACUAACUACUGCGAAAGCAUUCGCCAAGGAUGUUUUCAUUAAUCAGGAACGAAAGUUAUGGGAUCGAAGACGAUCAGAUACCGUCGUAGUCUUAACCAUAAACUAUGCCGACUAGGGAUCGGACGGUGUUUCUAUUAUGACCCGUUCGGCACCUUACGAGAAUCAAAGUUUUUGGGUUCUGGGGGGAGUAUGUCGCAGGCUGAAACUUAAGAAAUGGACGAGCACACAGCGUGGAGCUGCGCUUAAUGACUCACACGGGAACUCCACCAGACCGACCAAAUWAGGGAA